CGACAUGUCCCAAAACUCAAAAUUUGCAAAACAAAAUAUUUGCACAGCUAACCAUGCAAAGUCUGAGCAUUUCCUGAUGACUGAAGAGUCCGUUUCUCCUCUGUGCUGCAUCUGUUCACUGCUUCUCUACCAGGAGGAGGUAAGAUAAGAAAAGAGUUAGUUUUUUAGGUAAAAACACACGUUUUUAUUCAUUUGUUAAWUGCAKCUGUGAAAGGAGAAUYAUUUUUUUCAUUGCCAUCACAGCAACAUGCCUCCUCACAGCUGGAUUAACUUGGUUUUGCUGGUUGGCUGUUUCUGGAUUGUUGCUGCUGAUAACCUCCAAGAGCAACAGACAGACAAAGUCAAAUCUUGUUUAACAGACAAAAACACAAAUUAUAUUGUUGCUGAUAACUUCUAUGGAAUCAUCAGUGCAUCAAAGCACUUCAAGCAAAAGACGACAGAUGCUGUCAGACGGACUUGUGACACUACAGUUUAUAACAACUGCAACAAUAAUG
Non-coding RNA from Poecilia reticulata (guppy), 494 nucleotides. NCBI's taxonomy places the organism in Eukaryota, Metazoa, Chordata, Actinopteri, Cyprinodontiformes, Poeciliidae. The record is from RefSeq and is a predicted model, not a curated record.